GACGAACGCUGGCGGCGCGCUUAACACAUGCAAGUCGAACGGAAAGGCCUGCUUUCCCUUGUGGAUUGCGGGUACUCGAGUGGCGAACGGGUGAGUAACACGUGAGUGAUCUGCCCCCAACUUGGGUAUAAGCCUGGGAAACUGGGUCUAAUUCCCGAUAGGACUGCAGGGUGGUGCCUGUGGUGGAAAACGAUUUUCUAGUGGUUGGGGAUGAGCUCGCGGCCUAUCAGCUUGUUGGUGGGGUAAUGGCCUACCAAGGCGGCGACGGGUAGCCGGCCCGGGAGGGUGGACGGCCACAUUGGGACUGAGAUACGGCCCAGACUCCUACGGGAGGCAGCAGUGGGGAAUAUUGCACAAUGGGCGGAAGCCUGAUGCAGCGACGCCGCGUGGGGGAUGACGGCCUUCGGGUUGUAAACUCCUUUCGACCGCGAGGAAGCCACCUGGUUGGAAGGGUGGUGACGGUAGUGGUAGAAGAAGCACCGGCUAACUACGUG
This 494-nucleotide ribosomal RNA is filed under the name uncultured bacterium. Its description in RNAcentral is "partial 16S ribosomal RNA". It matches the Rfam family "Bacterial small subunit ribosomal RNA", at positions 28 to 507 of the family's 1533-position model. The record is from RNAcentral.